UUUGCCUACGGGGCGCAGCAGUGAGGAAUAUUGGUCAAUGGACGAGAGUCUGAACCAGCCAAGUAGCGUGAAGGAUGACUGCCCUAUGGGUUGUAAACUUCUUUUAUAAAGGAAUAAAACGAGGCACGUGUGCCUUUUUGCAUGUACUUUAUGAAUAAGGAUCGGCUAACUCCGUGCCAGCAGCCGCGGUAAUACGGAGGAUCCGAGCGUUAUCCGGAUUUAUUGGGUUUAAAGGGUGCGUAGGCGGAAUAUCAAGUCAGCGGUAAAAAUUCGGGGCUCAACCCCGUCGUGCCGUUGAAACUGAU
RNAcentral lists this ribosomal RNA (305 nucleotides) under uncultured bacterium. RNAcentral's name for it is "bacterial SSU rRNA". It matches the Rfam family "Bacterial small subunit ribosomal RNA", at positions 334 to 637 of the family's 1533-position model. The record is from RNAcentral.